RNAcentral lists this ribosomal RNA (253 nucleotides) under uncultured bacterium. RNAcentral describes it as "partial 16S ribosomal RNA". It matches the Rfam family "Bacterial small subunit ribosomal RNA", at positions 524 to 776 of the family's 1533-position model. The record is from RNAcentral.
UACGUAGGGGGCAAGCGUUGUCCGGAUUUAUUGGGCGUAAAGAGCGUGUAGGCGGCUUUGCAAGUCCGUUGUGAAAACUCGAGGCUCAACCUCGAGACGCCGGUGAAAACUGCAAAGCUAGAGUCCGGAAGAGGAGAGUGGAAUUCCUGGUGUAGCGGUGAAAUGCGCAGAUAUCAGGAGGAACACCCGUGGCGAAAGCGGCUCUCUGGGACGUUACUGACGCUGAGACGCGAAAGCGUGGGGAGCAAACAGG